This is a non-coding RNA of Nyctereutes procyonoides (raccoon dog), 68 nucleotides long. Lineage: Eukaryota; Metazoa; Chordata; Mammalia; Carnivora; Canidae. The record is from the annotation of a RefSeq genome assembly.
AGAGGUUUAGGUUAAACUAGACCAAGAGCCUUCAAAGCUCUAAGCAAGUGUUGUUCACUUAACCCCUG